RNAcentral lists this ribosomal RNA (285 nucleotides) under Lysinibacillus fusiformis. RNAcentral's name for it is "partial 16S ribosomal RNA". It matches the Rfam family "Bacterial small subunit ribosomal RNA", at positions 75 to 351 of the family's 1533-position model. The record is from RNAcentral. Lineage: Bacteria; Bacillati; Bacillota; Bacilli; Caryophanales; Bacillaceae.
GGAGCUUGCUCCUUUGACGUUAGCGGCGGACGGGUGAGUAACACGUGGGCAACCUACCUUAUAGUUUGGGAUAACUCCGGGAAACCGGGGCUAAUACCGAAUAAUCUGUUUCACCUCAUGGUGAAAUAUUGAAAGACGGUUUCGGCUGUCGCUAUAGGAUGGGCCCGCGGCGCAUUAGCUAGUUGGUGAGGUAACGGCUCACCANGGCGACGAUGCGUAGCCGACCUGAGAGGGUGAUCGGCCACACUGGGACUGAGACACGGCCCAGACUCCUACGGGAGGCAG